This 274-nucleotide ribosomal RNA is filed under the name uncultured bacterium. RNAcentral's name for it is "partial 16S ribosomal RNA". It matches the Rfam family "Bacterial small subunit ribosomal RNA", at positions 523 to 796 of the family's 1533-position model. The record is from RNAcentral.
AUACAGAGGGUGCAAGCGUUAAUCGGAAUUACUGGGCGUAAAGCGCGCGUAGGCGGUUUGUUAAGUUGGAUGUGAAAGCCCCGGGCUUAACCUGGGAGGGUCAUUCAAAACUGGCAGACUAGAGUGUGGUAGAGGGUAGUGGAAUUCCUAGUGUAGCGGUGAAAUGCGUAGAGAUUAGGAGGAACACUAGUGGCGAAGGCGACUGCCUGGACCAACACUGACGCUGAGGUGCGAAAGCGUGGGUAGCGAACAGGAUUAGAAACCCCGGUAGUCC